CCUACGGGUGGCUGCAGUGAGGAAUAUUGGGCAAUGGGCGAAAGUCUGAACCAGCAAAGCAGCGUGAAGGAAGAAGGCUUUAGGGGUGGAAACUUCUUUUAAGAGGGAAGAGAAGAAGACGAUACAUAUUGAAUAAGAUACGGCUAACUACGUGCCAGCAGCCGCGGCAAUACGUAGGUGGCAAGCGUUGUCCGGAUUUACUGGGUGUAAAGGGCGUGCAGCCGGGAAUGCAAGUCAGUUGUGAAAUCCCGCGGCUCAACCGCGGAACUGCAUUUGAAACUGGUUUUCUUGAGUACCGGAGAGGUCAUCGGAAUUCCUUGUGUAGCGGUGAAAUGCGUAGAUAUAACGAAGAACACCAGUGGCGAAGGCGGAUGACUGGACUGCAACUGACGGUGAGGCGCGAAAGCGUGGGGAGCAAACAGGAUUAGAUACCCCUGUAGUC
This 442-nucleotide ribosomal RNA is filed under the name uncultured bacterium. RNAcentral's name for it is "partial 16S ribosomal RNA". It matches the Rfam family "Bacterial small subunit ribosomal RNA", at positions 338 to 795 of the family's 1533-position model. The record is from RNAcentral.